RNAcentral lists this long non-coding RNA (1145 nucleotides) under Apis florea (little honeybee). RNAcentral's name for it is "uncharacterized LOC116415396, transcript variant X1". The record is from RNAcentral. Lineage: Eukaryota; Metazoa; Arthropoda; Insecta; Hymenoptera; Apidae.
CAAACCAAGGCCCGUAAAAUUCGCACGACAGAGAAACUAGAAAUCUAACCUAACCUUCACUGAAUCUCGCAUUAGUGACCAAUUCCUAUGUAUCACUACCGUAAAGAUUCAUUUCACGGCGUUUCGCCAGAAUUCAUAUCAAGCUCUCUCGGGCCGCGCAUACCGUGCCAAUUAUUCUCCGCACGGAAGUUCCACGGCUUGGCGUGAGAGAUUGAUGCGAGAGUCGAUGCACUCCACGCUUAUGUUUUAUUCAUACCUUUCACCAGGUUCGAUAAGAAAAUUAUAUUUAAAAGACGGACGCAAACUGAUGUCGCGGAAAAAGAGAAAAUCAAUUCGAUACUUGUCACUCAUGGAAAGUAAUAUAUAUAGAUAUUAUUAUUGGUUUUUGAUUUGCUACUUUGAUUGCUUUUGUGUUUCUGUGAUUAUAUUCUAAUAUAUAUACAUAUAAAAACUUGAAGAAAACUUAGGGCUACUUAAUAACAUUUUCAUUUCAUUAUUCAAUAGGUUUUUAAAGUGUUAAAAUAUAAGGAGGAAGUAUAUAUAUUGAAAUUCAAAAGGAAAAUCUUUGCUCUAUAUCCUUAUUAUUCUAUAGAUUUGCACAAAACUUCCACAGAAUGAAAAUAAAUGGCGCACAGUGGAAAACGGAGAAUGCAUCCUAUGUAAUUUAUGCAAGACCCAGAGAAGUAAUUAAGUGAUUGACUUUGCCAUUAUUUACAAGCAUUAUUCACCACGGAAUGGACGUUGAAACUGUAAUUUUCGCGACGAAGGCGUGUUCCACGCCUCGAUUCCGUUCUCCGCGUGAAAAAACCCUUGUACAAGCUCUAUAUUUAUCAACACGCCGGAUACUUUCGACGUUGGAGUCCAAACCGACCCUCGACAUUCUUAAGAACUGGAGGAUGCGUGUAGUUUCGAAAGAGACACGUGGAGGUUAAAAAUUAAUUAAUAUUCAGGAAGUAUACUAAGUGGGAAUGUCGCAUAGUGGGAGAAUUGUGCCGCGUGAUGGGGAGAAUCAACUCGGUACUUUGCCUCAAGGGAUUGAAAUCUUCGACGCAGACUAUAAUCGCCACAAUUUGCAUGCAAUAUUAAAACGUUCAUGCUAAUUAUAUAUCGCGUAUAUAAUAAAAAUCUGGAAUAGAAAACAUUAA